CAAUAGCGUAUAUUUAAGUUGUUGCAGUUAAAAAGCUCGUAGUUGGAUUUCGGUUGAGAACGGCCGGUCCGCCGUUUGGUGUGCACUGGCUGGUCUCAACUUCCUGUAGAGGACGCGCUCUGGGUUAACGCUCGGACGCGGAGUCUACGUGGUUACUUUGAAAAAAUUAGAGUGUUCAAAGCGGGCUUACGCUUGAAUAUUUCAGCAUGGAAUAAUAAGAUAGGACUUUGGAACUAUUUUGUUGGUUUGCGUUACAAAGUAAUGAUUAAUAGGGACAGUUGGGGGUAUUCGUAUUUCGUUGUCAGAGGUGAAAUUCUUGGAUUUCCGAAAGACGAACUACUGCGAAAGCAUUCGGCAAGGAUGUUUUCAUUAAUCAAGAACGAAAGUUGGGGGCUCGAAGACGAUUAGAUACCA
Molecule: ribosomal RNA, 414 nt
Filed under: uncultured eukaryote
Lineage: Eukaryota
Description: bacterial SSU rRNA
Rfam family: Eukaryotic small subunit ribosomal RNA
Source: RNAcentral